GAUGAACGCUAGCGGGAGGCCUAACACAUGCAAGCCGAGCGGGAUUUGUUGGUUAGCUUGCUAACUAACAAUGAGAGCGGCGUACGGGUGCGUAGCACGUGUGCAACCUGCCUUUAUCUGGGGGAUAGCCUUUCGAAAGGAAGAUUAAUACCCCAUAACAUAUUGAUUGGCAUCAGUUAAUAUUGAAAGCUCCGGCGGAUAGAGAUGGGCACGCGUAAGAUUAGCUAGUUGGUGAGGUAACGGCUCACCAAGGCUGCGAUCUUUAGGGGGCCUGAGAGGGUGAUCCCCCACACUGGUACUGCGACACGGACCAGACUCCUACGGGAGGCAGCAGUGAGGAAUAUUGGACAAUGGGUGAGAGCCUGAUCCAGCCAUCCCGCGUGAAGGACUAAGGACCUAUGGUUUGUAAACUUCUUUUAUACAGGGAUAAACCUACUCUCGUGAGGGUAGCUGAAGGUACUGUAUGAAUAAGCACCGGCUAACUCCGUG
Molecule: ribosomal RNA, 489 nt
Filed under: uncultured bacterium
Lineage: Bacteria
Description: partial 16S ribosomal RNA
Rfam family: Bacterial small subunit ribosomal RNA
Source: RNAcentral